Molecule: ribosomal RNA, 454 nt
Filed under: uncultured Prevotella sp.
Lineage: Bacteria; Pseudomonadati; Bacteroidota; Bacteroidia; Bacteroidales; Prevotellaceae
Description: partial 16S ribosomal RNA
Rfam family: Bacterial small subunit ribosomal RNA
Source: RNAcentral
ACGGGAGGCAGCAGUGAGGAAUAUUGGUCAAUGGACGGAAGUCUGAACCAGCCAAGUCGCGUGAAGGAUGAAGGUAUUAUGUAUUGUAAACUUCUUUAGACGUAGAGAAAUAAGCCCCUCGUGAGGGGUGAUGCUAGUAUACGUAGAAUAAGGACCGGCUAAUUCCGUGCCAGCAGCCGCGGUAAUACGGAAGGUCCGGGCGUUAUCCGGAUUUAUUGGGUUUAAAGGGAGCGUAGGCCGUGCUUUAAGCGUGUUGUGAAAUGUAGGCGCCCAACGUCUGCACUGCAGCGCGAACUGGAGCACUUGAGUACGCAGGAAGUAGGCGGAAUUCGUCGUGUAGCGGUGAAAUGCUUAGAUAUGACGAAGAACUCCGAUUGGGAAGCCAGCUUACUGUAGCGCCACUGACGCUGAUGCUCGAAAGCGUGGGUAUCGAACAGGAUUAGAUACCCUGGUA